CCCUUAGAUGUUCUGGGCCGCACGCGCGCUACACUGACACGUUCAUCAAGUCUAUAACCUUGACCGAGAGGUCUGGGUAAUCUUUUAAAAACGUGUCGUGCUGGGGAUAGAUUAUUGCAAUUAUUAAUCUUCAACGAGGAAUUCCUAGUAAACGCAAGUCAUCAACUUGCAUUGAUUACGUCCCUGCCCUUUGUACACACCGCCCGUCGCUACUACCGAUUGAAUGAUUUAGUGAGUACCAGGGACCGAGCGCUUUGGUUGGGUUUCCUUCCCUAGCGCUUGGGAACUGUCGCAAACUUGACCAUUGAGAGGAAGUAAAAGUCGUAACA
This 329-nucleotide ribosomal RNA is filed under the name uncultured eukaryote. RNAcentral's name for it is "partial 18S ribosomal RNA". It matches the Rfam family "Eukaryotic small subunit ribosomal RNA", at positions 1470 to 1796 of the family's 1831-position model. The record is from RNAcentral.